AGUGAACGCUGGCGGUAGGCCUAACACAUGCAAGUCGAACGGCAGCACAGUAAGAGCUUGCUCUUACGGGUGGCGAGUGGCGGACGGGUGAGGAAUACAUCGGAAUCUACUUUUUCGUGGGGGAUAACGUAGGGAAACUUACGCUAAUACCGCAUACGACCUACGGGUGAAAGCAGGGGAUCUUCGGACCUUGCGCGAUUGAAUGAGCCGAUGUCGGAUUAGCUAGUUGGCGGGGUAAAGGCCCACCAAGGCGACGAUCCGUAGCUUGUCUGAGAGGAUGAUCAGCCACACUGGAACUGAGACACGGUCCAGACUCCUACGGGAGGCAGCAAUGGGGAAUAUUGGACAAUGGGCGAAAGCCUGAUCCAGCCAUACCGCGUGGGUGAAGAAGGCCUUCGGGUUGUAAAGCCCUUUUGUUGGGAAAGAGAAGCAGCAGGUUAAUACCCCGCUGUUCUGACGGUACCCAAAGAAUAAGCACCGGCUAACUUCGUG
This 492-nucleotide ribosomal RNA is filed under the name uncultured bacterium. RNAcentral describes it as "partial 16S ribosomal RNA". It matches the Rfam family "Bacterial small subunit ribosomal RNA", at positions 29 to 507 of the family's 1533-position model. The record is from RNAcentral.